CAGUAUGCAUUAAUUAUUAUUCAUUUUAAUAUACUUUUUAUACCUAAUUGAAUACUAUCAUUAUACUUAUGUACUAUAGUAAUCAAUUUUUAUCUAUACAUAAAACUUAUAUUCUUAGCUUUUAAACUUAAUUAUUAUUUACUAAUAGGCAUGUAUAAUACAGGUUUAUUAUCAACGUUUAUAUUUUACCUAACUACUAUAUUUUUCCUAACUACAUCUCACAUU
This is a non-coding RNA of Cinara cedri, 225 nucleotides long. The record is from the annotation of a GenBank genome assembly. Lineage: Eukaryota; Metazoa; Arthropoda; Insecta; Hemiptera; Aphididae.